Molecule: long non-coding RNA, 1325 nt
Filed under: Numida meleagris (helmeted guineafowl)
Lineage: Eukaryota; Metazoa; Chordata; Aves; Galliformes; Numididae
Description: lncRNA (ENSNMEG00000013653.1)
Source: RNAcentral
UGGGGUUCGUGCGGCAAUGAGGAGCAGAAUGCGGAACGCCUCCCCCGAGCACUUUGUUACUCCGCACAGUGGGGAUCAGCGCGGCGACGCUGCGCAGCUGACGACGCAUGACAACAGCAAACCCCGAGACACGGAGCAGCUCCAACGCAACGGCUCCUUUAUUUGGGCUCUCCGUGGUGGGCGGCGCGCCUUCCAGCUAGCCGAGGAUCAGCAGCGUCUGCUGCGCCAGGCAGCGCACGGCCGGCCAGCUGUCCUUCUCGGCGCUCUGCAGGGCUGCAAUGGAGCGGAGCGGCGCUGCGUCACCGCGUCGGCCCGCGCGGCGCUGCCCGGGGCACGCGGGAUGGGGGGGCAGCAGCUCACCUGUGCGGAUGUCCGGCAUCUGCCCUCGGUUCUUCUUCUUCAGCCGCAUUGAGCCGGGGGUAGCGCUCCAUGGCGCUGCCCCCCUUCUGAAGCUGCAGAGAGCACCAGGGUGCGGGUGGCACCUGCUGUGUGCCACCCCCCGCCUUGUGCUGGAGCAGGGGGGGUUCUGGAGUGGGGGACGGGGCGGUUGAGGGCUGGGGGUCCUUACCAGGCAGUCAGCAAUCCUCGACAUGUCCCCCUUGCUGGCCAGGUGUUGCAGCUGCUUCCAGCCCAGGAGCUUGGCGGCGUGGGUGAGGGCAUUCUGAGCGGCCUGGGGGCAGCGACACAGGGGGGUGUUGGCGGCAGAGCCUGGGGGGCCCCCCCAUCCCCACCCGUGGGCGGCACCGUAGCCGGUACCAGCCCACAGGGUGUGGGGGGGUUGAGGGGGGGAUCUGGGAGGACUGUACGCGUGGGUGUGUGGGGGGGUUGCUGGUCAGACCCGGCGACCUCAGAGGCCCUUGCCAGCCUUCGUGGUGCUGUGACUGAAUGGGGCAGGCUGGGGUCGUGCCAGGUGACCCCGUGACCCCACGAGCUGCCCCUACCUGGGCCACUCUGGGGAAGUCCUCAUUCAUGCUGAAGAAGAGUGGCAGCAGACUGCUCUCCGCCUGCGGCAGCAGCUGCCUCUUGCCCGGUGCCGUCAGGAGCAGCGCAAAGACUUCCAUGGAGCGCCAGCGCAUCUCGACGUUGUCCUGGGGGGCACAGACAGAGGGGUGCUGAGCGAUGCACGGUGCCGAGGGGGGGGUGGCUGCUCCCUGCUGCCCCACGCGCCUCACCUCAUAGAAGAAGCCCAGCAGCUGUUUUCCCAGCUGGCUGAACACGCUGCGCAUGCUGGCGGGGCACUGAGCCGCGAUGUCCUGCAGCAGCUGCAUGGCCUGCACCUUCAUGUGGGCCCGCUCAUCCUGCAGCCACUGCAGCGCGUCGGGCAG